GUGUCUUCAGUACGACAAUGCCAGAACUAUAAGUCUCAAAGCCCCGACGAGUAGGGUGGCGUGCCGGUGAGCGUUGAAGGCCAAGACGUGAGUCAGGCUGGAGCCGCCGGUAGUGCAGAUCUUGGUGGUAGUAGCAAGUACUCUGGUGAACCAACCUGGAGCUGUGAGGUCUGGAUUAGGGUUCCAUGUCAACAGUGAUUGAACAUGGGUGAGUCGAUCCUAAGCCAGCUGUGAAAGCAGUGACAUCCCGACAAAGGGGCGUUUCGUACGCGUGCUGCACUUGCACCCCCUAGACGAUGAUGAUUAAUCUCUCUCGGUGUUUGAGGACUGGUUACGCUAAGAAAGCGUUAAAAGGCAAGGCAAAACACACCGUCAAAAGAGAGUGAGAGGGUGAGCGCGAGUGCACAUUAACGUGCGGGAUGCUUCCUGCGUAGGUUCCAUGUCAGGCGAAAGGGAAUGGGGACUUUGUUCCUUGACCGGUCCCGGCACCCUCGAUUGGCUUCGCCAGUCAAUGGUCCAUGCAAAUGGAACCAGGCCACAGCCGCCGGCAGUCGCCCGAGGAAGAGUUUUCUUUUCUGCUUAACGCACGAGAUCAUCCCUGGAAACAGUUCGGCUGGCGAAAGGGUGCCCCGUUGCGGCAGAGCGCCACGACUGUCGUGCGCGUCUCGGUGUACCUGCUGGUCCGUGAAGACGUGGUCGAGGGGAUUGCUCUUGUAUCAACGAAACGUCCGACAAGUUCGGGACGGACCGUACCCUAUAUCCGCAUCUGGUCUCCAAGGUUCGUAGCCUCUGCAGAGUCAGACACAUGUAGGUAAGGGAAGUCGGCAAACUCGAUCCGUAACUUCGGGAAAAGGAUUGGCUCUGAGGGCCGAGCUGGGCCGGGCCUUGCCUGCAAAGCAGUACCUAUAGUGACCGGAGUUUCAGGAGUGCGAGGGGCUCUAGUAGCUGUUCGGGUGUGUGUGUUCGCGCGCGCGCCUGGGCACGAACGAGUCUACCGCUCCGCUCCAACCACGAACGGCUGUGACGGCAAGGNCUCUGGGGCGGGAGCGUUCAAACCGUUGGCUCCCAGCGUGUCUGGUCGGCGGCGGUGCUUCGUCUGACCCAUACGGCUCCAGCGGCUAGCGGCUAACUCAGAA
This 1136-nucleotide ribosomal RNA is filed under the name Niphargus dimorphopus. RNAcentral describes it as "partial 28S ribosomal RNA". It matches the Rfam family "Eukaryotic large subunit ribosomal RNA", at positions 1360 to 2113 of the family's 3401-position model. The record is from RNAcentral. Lineage: Eukaryota; Metazoa; Arthropoda; Malacostraca; Amphipoda; Niphargidae.